ACCCCAGGAGCUCGUCAAGAGAAAGGAGCUGGCACCUUGAACCAAAUCUGAUGAGAACCGAAACAAAUAAUGACAGAGAAGCGUCCACUGAAUCCGGCAACGUGGACGUUACUAACAAACACGACAGCUAUUUUAGGGAGGAACAGUGCCAUCCGGGAGGUUUUCCUGUGUAGAAACAAGGGUGUCCGUGACCCAGACAGAGACAAGAGCCAUGAGUUUAAGACAGAUGCUACCUCUUCACUGUUCAGUGGAAGAGGCAGAAAACACAGAUUUCUGGCUUUUAUCGACCAAUCAGUGCUCUGGUGAGCCUGGGGAAAUGACUGCUCCGAUUGGAGUAGGUGAACACAAUCUCUGCGGGCCUGCCUGCUCCAAUUUCCAGACCCCUCCCGGCUGACUCGGCUCCUCUGUAUGACCUGACCUUGCACUCGUGUUUCCAACUUACCACAGAAGCGCUCUUUCUAAACUGAGGCGAUCUUUUCUUUUUGCUUUAAUCUCACCAAAGAAACUCUCUGAUUGCGAUUCACAUGUAGACUGACUACAGGCAGAGCAUGAAUGGACCUAGGUUUUCAGUUCCUCCUGCUCACAAGUUAUCGCUUAUGGAACAUUAUUAAAUUGGCAUUCUUGUUUGGAUUUUACUUGUUGCCGUUCAGUCCCUCGGGACCUGCGGAAAUGUGAACACCAGCCGGAGGUUGCCCUUGGCCUUCUAAGUCGAGAACAAGCAGCUUCCAGUCAAGACCCUCCCCGGCCUUCUCUGUCCCGGCCACGCAGUCAUGAGACCACACUGGCACGACUCCUAUCCCCAGAGAAGCAAGGAUAGUUGAGGAAGAGUCAAUACAAAGCAAGAGUCAAUACAGAGAGGAUGUUUACGGAGGAGCAAAGUGGGUAGAAAUGCUACCAUAAAUGGAAGUUGAUGCCUUGCUCCCCAAGCACUCAAACAGUGGAGAAAAAAAGAUUGGGGAAGAAAGAAAGGAAUCAUGGAAGACAGAAGCAGGGACAUGACCAGAAAGUUCUGAUUGAAAAAUGGAGAAAAAGAUAACCCCAGGAAAGGUUACAUAGAAUGGCAAGUCAAACUGCCCAGGUUUCUUCUUGUGAUAUGUUAGAUCUAAACAGUGUAGGGUUCAAUUUGUUGUUGUUGUUGUUGUUGUUGUUUUAAUAGUUCAGUUUAGGGUCAAGAGACCUUGAGCUUAAUGGGGAUUUCCUGUGUCAUAAUAGUUAUUUACAAAUCUGGUACCACUUAGUAAUUAAUCUAUUUAAAUUGCCUCUUUGAGAAGUAUAAAUGAAUACAAAUACAAUUAAAUCUACGA
Long non-coding RNA from Molossus molossus (Pallas's mastiff bat), 1304 nucleotides. RefSeq lists it as uncharacterized. NCBI's taxonomy places the organism in Eukaryota, Metazoa, Chordata, Mammalia, Chiroptera, Molossidae. The record is from RefSeq and is a predicted model, not a curated record. The transcript has 3 exons.